Molecule: ribosomal RNA, 442 nt
Filed under: uncultured bacterium
Lineage: Bacteria
Description: partial 16S ribosomal RNA
Rfam family: Bacterial small subunit ribosomal RNA
Source: RNAcentral
CCUACGUGUGGCAGCAGUGGGGAAUAUUGGGCAUUGGGCGCAAGCCUUACCCAGCAACGCCGCGUGAAGGAAGAAGGCUUUCGGGUUGUCAACUUCUUUUGUCAGGGAAGAGUAGAAGACGGUACCUGACGAAUAAGCCACGGCUAACUACGUGCCAGCAGCCGCGGUACUACGUAGGUGGCAAGCGUUGUCCGGAUUUACUGGGUGUAAAGGGCGUGUAGCCGGGUUGACAAGUCAGAUGUGAAAUCCUGCGGCUUAACCGCAGAACUGCAUUUGAAACUGUUGAUCUUGAGUACUGGAGAGGCAGACGGAAUUCCUAGUGUAGCGGUGAAAUGCGUAGAUAUUAGGAGGAACACCAGUGGCGAAGGCGGUCUGCUGGACAGCAACUGACGGUGAGGCGCGAAAGCGUGGGGAGCAAACAGGAUUAGAUACCCGAGUAGUC